Molecule: non-coding RNA, 21 nt
Organism: Caenorhabditis elegans
Lineage: Eukaryota; Metazoa; Nematoda; Chromadorea; Rhabditida; Rhabditidae
Source: Ensembl
UCGCCGAAAUAUUUGAAUCCA